Molecule: unclassified non-coding RNA, 364 nt
Filed under: uncultured bacterium
Lineage: Bacteria
Description: contains 16S-23S intergenic spacer region
Source: RNAcentral
UCCCCGUUACCGAGGCAGUCUGAAUAGAUAAUCCAACUAUUCAUGAGGGUUGCGCUCGUUGAAGGACUUAACCUGACAUCUCACGACACGAGCUGACGACGGCCAUGCAUCACCUGUCACCAGUCCAACUAAAUGAAGCUCUAAUUUCUUAGGGCGGCGACUGGGAUGUCAAACCUUGGUAAGGUUCUUCGCGUAGCCUCGAAUUAAACCACACGCUCCACCGCUUGUGCGGGUCCCCGUCAAUUCCUUUGAGUUUUAGCCUUGCGGCCGUACUCCCCAGGCGGGAUACUUAACGCGUUAGCUUCGCUACCGAAAGGGUCGAUACUUCCGACAGCCAGUAUCCAUCGUUUACGGCGUGGACUAC